AACGAACGCUGGCGGCAUGCCUUACACAUGCAAGUCGAACGGCAGCACGGGAGCUUGCUCCUGGUGGCGAGUGGCGAACGGGUGAGUAAUGCAUCGGAACGUGCCCUGAAGUGGGGGAUAACGUAGCGAAAGUUACGCUAAUACCGCAUAUUCUGUGAGCAGGAAAGCAGGGGAUCUUCGGACCUUGCGCUUUUGGAGCGGCCGAUGUCGGAUUAGCUAGUUGGUGGGGUAAAGGCCCACCAAGGCGACGAUCCGUAGCGGGUCUGAGAGGAUGAUCCGCCACACUGGAACUGAGACACGGUCCAGACUCCUACGGGAGGCAGCAGUGGGGAAUUUUGGACAAUGGGCGCAAGCCUGAUCCAGCCAUGCCGCGUGAGUGAAGAAGGCCU
RNAcentral lists this ribosomal RNA (389 nucleotides) under uncultured bacterium. RNAcentral describes it as "bacterial SSU rRNA". It matches the Rfam family "Bacterial small subunit ribosomal RNA", at positions 29 to 417 of the family's 1533-position model. The record is from RNAcentral.